UACGGGGGAUGCAAGCGUUAUCCGGAUUUAUUGGGUUUAAAGGGUGCGUAGGCUGUGAGGUAAGUCAGCGGUGAAAUGCCCCCGCUCAACGGGGUGAAGUGCCAUUGAUACUGCCUUGCUGGAAUGCGGAUGCCGUGGGAGGAAUGUGUGGUGUAGCGGUGAAACGCAUAGAUAUCACACAGAACACCGAUUGCGAAGGCAUCUCACGAAUCCGCGAUUGACGCUGAUGCACGAAAGCGUGGGUAUCAAACAGG
This 254-nucleotide ribosomal RNA is filed under the name uncultured bacterium. RNAcentral describes it as "partial 16S ribosomal RNA". It matches the Rfam family "Bacterial small subunit ribosomal RNA", at positions 524 to 776 of the family's 1533-position model. The record is from RNAcentral.